This 1125-nucleotide ribosomal RNA is filed under the name Enterococcus gallinarum. RNAcentral's name for it is "bacterial SSU rRNA". It matches the Rfam family "Bacterial small subunit ribosomal RNA", at positions 32 to 1132 of the family's 1533-position model. The record is from RNAcentral. Lineage: Bacteria; Bacillati; Bacillota; Bacilli; Lactobacillales; Enterococcaceae.
GGCGUUGGCGGCGUGCUAUACAUGCAGUCGAACGCUUUUUCUUUCACCGGAGCUUGCUCCACCGAGAAGAAAAAGAGUGGCGAACGGGUGAGUAACACGUGGGUAACCUGCCCAUCAGAAGGGGAUAACACUUGGAAACAGGUGCUAAUACCGUAUAACACUAUUUUCCGCAUGGAAGAAAGUUGAAAGGCGCUUUUGCGUCACUGAUGGAUGGACCCGCGGUGCAUUAGCUAGUUGGUGAGGUAACGGCUCACCAAGGCAACGAUGCAUAGCCGACCUGAGAGGGUGAUCGGCCACACUGGGACUGAGACACGGCCCAGACUCCUACGGGAGGCAGCAGUAGGGAAUCUUCGGCAAUGGACGAAAGUCUGACCGAGCAACGCCGCGUGAGUGAAGAAGGUUUUCGGAUCGUAAAACUCUGUUGUUAGAGAAGAACAAGGAUGAGAGUAAAAUGUUCAUCCCUUGACGGUAUCUAACCAGAAAGCCACGGCUAACUACGUGCCAGCAGCCGCGGUAAUACGUAGGUGGCAAGCGUUGUCCGGAUUUAUUGGGCGUAAAGCGAGCGCAGGCGGUUUCUUAAGUCUGAUGUGAAAGCCCCCGGCUCAACCGGGGAGGGUCAUUGGAAACUGGGAGACUUGAGUGCAGAAGAGGAGAGUGGAAUUCCAUGUGUAGCGGUGAAAUGCGUAGAUAUAUGGAGGAACACCAGUGGCGAAGGCGGCUCUCUGGUCUGUAACUGACGCUGAGGCUCGAAAGCGUGGGGAGCGAACAGGAUUAGAUACCCUGGUAGUCCACGCCGUAAACGAUGAGUGCUAAGUGUUGGAGGGUUUCCGCCCUUCAGUGCUGCAGCAAACGCAUUAAGCACUCCGCCUGGGGAGUACGACCGCAAGGUUGAAACUCAAAGGAAUUGACGGGGGCCCGCACAAGCGGUGGAGCAUGUGGUUUAUUUCGAAGCAACGCGAAGAACCUUACCAGGUCUUGACAUCCUUUGACCACUCUAGAGAUAAAGCUUCCCCUUCGGGGGCAAAGUGACAGGUGGUGCAUGGUUGUCCUCAACUCCUGUCCUGAAAUGUUGGGUUAAUCCCCCCACCAACGCCACCCUUAUGUUAUUUGCCUUCUUUUAUUUGG